UCUGGUUUACUGCGUCUGUAUCCAUAGACAACAUUCUUUACUAAUUUGAUUAAAAGUCAAGCUUAGAAGGAAAACAAAUCUCUACUUCCUCAACUUUUAAUUAUACUAACAAUUUGACUAAAACACAGACAGGAUUUCCUGCAACAGCAUCUUUCUGCUAAAUUCAUAACGGAGAAAAGGUUUGAAUCGUUAUAAUCCUUUCCAGCAAGAAUGUUCAAAAGGAAGUUUAUUCCUUGCUUUUCAAAAGAAUGAAUCUUUAGGAACCGAAAAGAAUUAUUAAAACGCUUAGUGGAACAUUAAAUAUGUUUAUGCCCGUGAAAGAGGUAAAGACCGAGGACAUACCGUUGAACAUAGUCAGCUUCCUUCGUUACUUUUGCCGCAACAAUAUUCGAUACUGAUAUGUCUUUUGUAGGCUCUCUGCCCACUGCAACAGCUAUUAGUUCUCCCUCCCUUUUUCUCUCCCCUUCUCCUUCUCUGUCUUUAUCGCUGUAGUUGAUGGAAUUUGAGCAUUCCAACAUGACUCCAAGGAGAAAAGGCCGAUCAUCGUAGAGGCUCAGCAGAAACUGCGAAGCUUCAUUGGAAGGCCAAAAGAUUACGCUUUACCCUUUCUCUUAUAACUCGUUACUCCUGUAUACAAAAAGAAAAUAUCGCACCCUGCUCUUCAUUUCAAGACAUUUUUGGGAUUAGCAGCAGCAAUUUUAGAGUAUAGAAAUUGACGCUGUAUAAAUGGGAUUGGUGGGAGGCAUAGAAUGGAUGAAUGCUUACAGUAGGAAGCAAUUCAGGAAACUGUUCUGGAGGAUGAGAGCAGCGAUGAAGAAAGCCAUCAAGAACGGAGGAAAAAGAAGGUUCAAUUUUCAAUAUGAUCCUUGCAGCUAUGCUCUAAAUUUUGAUGAUGGGUUUUGCAAAUUUGAAGCUGUUGCACCUGAAGAACCUGCAAAGAUUCAGAUUAGCUCAAAUUUGAAUCACUCUCCCAUGUGGGUUUUUGUACUUCUGGUGAAAUCUGAGUGAAUUUUCUUGAUUGGCAGAUUGACUCUUUGCCUGCUCAUUUUCUUCUGCAUCCUUGAUUAGAAGCCAUCUACUUGCAUUUUUUGUACAUCUAUGCUUGUCUAUGAUCUUCAAUAUUAUUAAUUGGUUCUGUUUCGAGAGAAAAA
Long non-coding RNA from Cucurbita moschata (crookneck pumpkin), 1151 nucleotides. RefSeq lists it as uncharacterized. The record is from RefSeq and is a predicted model, not a curated record. The transcript is spliced from 2 exons. Lineage: Eukaryota; Viridiplantae; Streptophyta; Magnoliopsida; Cucurbitales; Cucurbitaceae.